This 1148-nucleotide long non-coding RNA is filed under the name Piliocolobus tephrosceles (Ugandan red Colobus). Its description in RNAcentral is "lncRNA (ENSPTEG00000006957.1)". The record is from RNAcentral. Lineage: Eukaryota; Metazoa; Chordata; Mammalia; Primates; Cercopithecidae.
UUUUUUUUUUUUUUUUUUUUUUUUUUUCACUUAUAAAUUUUUUAAAUAACGUUUGUUUCCCAAUUAGAGAAUACAAUAAUUACAUACGAAAUUGUAUGUGUACAUAUGUAUUUAUACUUUUUUUUUAUAUCGAUAUAUGCAUAUGUAGAUAAAUAUGCACACAUAUGUAUGUUCUGUUAAUUAUAAAUUAAUGUAAAACUUGACUUUUUUUUUUUGUUGUUAACAAUUGUUAUAGUAAAUUUUUUUUUUUUUUUUUUUUUUUUUUUCAAAAUGGUGUUUGUUUUUUGAUUUGAAUUUGUGUUCAUAUAUAUGUAUACCUAUAUACAUGUAUAUUUUAUUUUUAUUUUAUAUUAGAAAUAUCUAAAACCUUUUAUAAAACAUUUGUAGUUUUAUUAAUUCGAGAUGCUUAUAUAAAAAAAAAUUAGUAAUUCGAAAAAAAAAAAUGUGCUUUAAACGAUGUUGUAGCUUUUCUUUUUUUUUCGCGUUUGUGACUUAUUAAACAAUUAAAUGCAAUAAAAUCGUACAAGUUAAAAAAUAAAUCUUUUUUUUAUAUAUAUAUAUAUAUACCUCUUUUAUAUUGUUUUAAAGAAAAUAAAAACCGUUUUUCUUUUGCUUUUUUUUGUGUUUAAUAAUAGUUAAACCCGAACAUGAAUAAAAAUAGAAGAUUAAAUGUUUACUUGUUUUCAAACAGUUCAAGAUAUUUUAACACAUCAUUGAUUAAAUCUAAAAUUGAUACGUUGGAAAAUUAUGCAAAAAAAAAUCAGUUACAUAAAUUAAGAAGAGAUAAAUUGUUUGAAGUUUUUAAAUUAUCUAAAACGGAAGAAGAUUAUAAAUUGUCGUUGCAUUUAUUAAAUGUAUAUUACAAUUUUGGAAGAAAUUUAAAUACCCAGCAAGAUGUUGAUUUAUUUUUUACAUCCAUUUUGAGGACAAAUCAACUAAAUGAAGCAAAAGAUUUUUUGAAGUAUUUUAACGGGUGGUUAUUAUGUCCUCCUUCAAACAAAUUGAUUUUACUAUGUAUGGAGGAAUUUUUUCGAAAAAAAAAUUUUAUGAAGUCAGGGAAAUUUUUUCUUUUAUUAGACAGAAUAAGUUAUAAUUUAUUAAAAACAAAAAUUUAUCCAAAUGUGCUUUUUAAAUAUAUAUUUAUGUGA